RNAcentral lists this long non-coding RNA (649 nucleotides) under Canis lupus familiaris (dog). RNAcentral describes it as "lncRNA (ENSCAFG00030000069.1)". The record is from RNAcentral. Lineage: Eukaryota; Metazoa; Chordata; Mammalia; Carnivora; Canidae.
AGCCGCCCUCGUCCCGCCCCGCCCAGGCCCCGCCCCCCGGAGCCCCGCCCACGCCCCGCCCUCGACCCGCCCCCCGAGCCCCCGCCCUCGACCCGCCCCCCGAGCCCCCGCGCGCAGACCCCGCCUCCGACGCCCUGACCCGCGGGGCCCCUCGGGGGCGGGGCCGGCCUCCUGCGCAGGCGCGGCCGCGGGGUCGCCCGUCAGUGACGUCACAGGCGGCGCGUCAGACCCCGCGCCCCGAGCCCGGCUGCCGGCUGGAACCUGCGGGUGCGGCGUCCGAGGGGCGCGGCGACGGGGACGGGGACGGGGACGGGGAGGCCCGCGGAGCCCCCGGCGGUCGGAGGGACGCGGAGGCCGAGACGCGGGGCCGCCCCGGCCCGGCCCGGGAGGACCCGAGGAUGAAGGCACCCAGAAGCCAAACUGGCAAAGUCAUUUGAGGAAUUGCACUGCACAGGGACAGAGAAAUGGAGCAGUGGCUAGAGAGAUCCUGCCGCAGGUUUAUUUGUACAAACAGCACAGGAGGACACCAGGCCCGUGUACACGGAAGCCCAGCACUGGAGCCUCGGUGGGGGCCUGGGCACCUUUGGGAGCCUGCACUGCUGAGGCUUUUGCUUCGUUGCAAAGGAGAACGGGGAAAGGCCGUCCCUGA